UACGAAGGGGGCUAGCGUUGUUUGGAUUUACUGGGCGUAAAGCGCACGUAGGCGGAUCGUUAAGUCAGGGGUGAAAUCCUGGAGCUCAACUCCAGAACUGCCUUUGAUACUGGCGAUCUUGAGUCCGGAAGAGGUGAGUGGAACUCCUAGUGUAGAGGUGGAAUUCGUAGAUAUUAGGAAGAACACCAGUGGCGAAGGCGGCUCACUGGUCCGGUACUGACGCUGAGACGCGAAAGCGUGGGGAGCAAACAGG
Molecule: ribosomal RNA, 253 nt
Filed under: uncultured bacterium
Lineage: Bacteria
Description: partial 16S ribosomal RNA
Rfam family: Bacterial small subunit ribosomal RNA
Source: RNAcentral